UCAGCAGUGAGGAAUAUUGGUCAAUGGCCUAACGGCUGAACCAGCAACUUGCAGGAAUGAGAGUUAAUAUAAUAAGUUUAUUAACUUGCUUGACUAGGUCUUAUAAAGUUCUGGAUAAAGCUUAUUAUGAAAACUUUAUAUCCAUAGGUCUCGACCAAAUCUUGUGCCAGCAGUCGCGGUAAGACAAGGGAGACGAGUGUUAUUCAUCUUUAACAGGUAUAUAGGGUACCUAGACGGUGUGCAAUGGCUUAAAUAAGUACCUGGUACACUUGAGUUUGAUAUGUGAGAGGAAUAUGUCGGAAUUGUUGGAGGAAAGAUGAAAUUUGUUAAUACCAAUAGGACUGAUAACGGCGAAGGCAAACCUCUAUGUACAUGUACUUGCUAUCUCUCUAUUAGAGAGGAACAGAAAUUUCUCUUAUAAAAAAUCUUAUAUAAAAAAAGAGGAAAACAGCAAUGUGCUAUAACUGACGUUGAGGGACGAAGGCUCAGAGAGUGAAGAGGAUUAGAUACCCCCGUAACCUGGGCAGACAAUGAUGAGUGCCAUAGGUUGGCUUUAAGGCGGAACUAUAAA
This 571-nucleotide ribosomal RNA is filed under the name Bipolaris sorokiniana. Its description in RNAcentral is "SSU rRNA". It matches the Rfam family "Bacterial small subunit ribosomal RNA", at positions 348 to 851 of the family's 1533-position model. The record is from RNAcentral. Lineage: Eukaryota; Fungi; Ascomycota; Dothideomycetes; Pleosporales; Pleosporaceae.